This 438-nucleotide ribosomal RNA is filed under the name uncultured bacterium. Its description in RNAcentral is "bacterial SSU rRNA". It matches the Rfam family "Bacterial small subunit ribosomal RNA", at positions 45 to 507 of the family's 1533-position model. The record is from RNAcentral.
UGCCUAAUACAUGCAAGUCGAGCGGCAGCGCGUCUAGUUUACUAGAUGGCGGCGAGCGGCGGACGGCUGAGUAACGCGUAGGAAUGUGCCCCAAAGUGAGGAAUAACUGCCCGAAAGGGUAGCUAAUGCCGCAUAUGGUCUUCGGAUUAAAGGAUUUAUCCGGCUUUGGGAGCAGCCUGCGUACGAUUAGAUAGUUGGUGAGGUAAUGGGCUCACCCAAAGUCGACGAUCGUUAGCUGGUCUGAGAGGAUGAUCAGCCAGACUGGAACUGAGACACGGUCCAGACUCCUACGGGAGGCAGCAGUAAGGAAUCUUCCACAAUGGGCGAAAGCCUGAUGGAGCAACGCCGCGUGCAGGAUGAAGGCCUUCGGGUUGUAAACUGCUUUUAUGAGUGAAGAAUAUGACGGUAACUCAUGAAUAAGCACCGGCUAACUACGUG